GAAGGUCCUACGGAUUGUAAACUUCUUUUAUAAGGGAAUAAAACCUCCCACGUGUGGGAGCUUGUAUGUACCUUAUGAAUAAGCAUCGGCUAACUCCGUGCCAGCAGCCGCGGUAAUACGGAGGAUGCGAGCGUUAUCCGGAUUUAUUGGGUUUAAAGGGAGCGCAGACGGGUCGUUAAGUCAGCUGUGAAAGUUUGGGGCUCAACCUUAAAAUUGCAGUUGAUACUGGCGUCCUUGAGUGCGGUUGAGGUGUGCGGAAUUCGUGGUGUAGCGGUGAAAUGCUUAGAUAUCACGAAGAACUCCGAUUGCGAAGGCAGCACACUAAGCCGUAACUGACGUUCAUGCUCGAAAGUGUGGGUAUCAAACAGG
Molecule: ribosomal RNA, 369 nt
Filed under: uncultured Bacteroides sp.
Lineage: Bacteria; Pseudomonadati; Bacteroidota; Bacteroidia; Bacteroidales; Bacteroidaceae
Description: bacterial SSU rRNA
Rfam family: Bacterial small subunit ribosomal RNA
Source: RNAcentral